This is a long non-coding RNA of Eucalyptus grandis, 352 nucleotides long. RefSeq lists it as uncharacterized. NCBI's taxonomy places the organism in Eukaryota, Viridiplantae, Streptophyta, Magnoliopsida, Myrtales, Myrtaceae. The record is from RefSeq and is a predicted model, not a curated record. The transcript is spliced from 5 exons.
CCUGAUCAUUUUAUAAUGAUCAUUUCUUAUUUAUUACUUUCUUGCUAUUUGUCCUUGGCCGGAUAGUUUGAUGUCUCAGAUCAAGUCAAUGUAUGAUGAAUUGAAGUCAGAACAUGAGAAGAACAGUCAAUCUCUUGUGGAGUUACUUCAACAGAGUUUCGGAGAAUGUGAAAAUAGUGUCGGAAUGCAACCGUCAAGUUCCAUGAACUUAACGAGAAGUUUUGUGAGGAUAAAGCUUCUCAUCAGCAAGCCCCUUUGCAGGCUUUAGAUGAUAUUUUUUCCAAAUUUGAGGAGGAGAAGGAAAGGCUCUUCAUGCAAUAUGAACAAAUAAGAAAGAAGGAGAAGUCUAUGA